RNAcentral lists this small nucleolar RNA (277 nucleotides) under Thermococcus thioreducens. Its description in RNAcentral is "HgcG RNA". It matches the Rfam family "HgcG RNA (Pab40)". From Rfam's summary of the family: The HgcG ncRNA gene was identified computationally in AT-rich hyperthermophiles. The genes were named hgcA through hgcG ("high GC"). HgcG is of unknown function. hgcG is significantly similar to a region of the Archaeoglobus fulgidus genome. The record is from RNAcentral. Lineage: Archaea; Methanobacteriati; Methanobacteriota; Thermococci; Thermococcales; Thermococcaceae.
CUCAGGAAGCUCAUGGAGUGAGGACAGCUUUAUAUACCUCCUCUUUUCUACCACAUACUGCCCCUGCGCGAGGACCCCGGGGAGAAUGAACCGGGGGGCGAUGCGGGGGCUACAGCUCGGCCUCAGCGAGGUCCCCGCGGGAGGGCCUUCCGCGUUACGGAGCACAAUGACCGUGGGAAACCCAGGCCGAGUACAGCCCAGGCCCGCCUGGGUUAACCCGCCCGAGAUCGCCGUGAGGCACCGAUGGGGGCGGGGGUUACGGGCGGGCCAUAGCCAG